Molecule: non-coding RNA, 2141 nt
Organism: Peromyscus maniculatus bairdii (prairie deer mouse)
Lineage: Eukaryota; Metazoa; Chordata; Mammalia; Rodentia; Cricetidae
Source: RefSeq, a predicted model, not a curated record
CAAAAAAACAAACAACAACAACAACAACAACAAAACCAACAACAACAAAACCAUGAGGCAGAGAUACCCAGAGCCAGGUUAUCUUGGGACACUACUUGGGUUGAGACACCCACAGCCCUUUCCUUACCCAGGACCCUCACCCUCAUGGAGCUGCACACACACCCCUUUCCCAAGAAAGCAAUCAGGUCACUUUGACCUAGCUGCUCUUAGUUAAUUCUUUUUCUGUGACCAAACAGCUUCUCAAAACUAUCCAGGGACCAGUGGCAGAGUGCUGAUCAAGCCUGGGCUGAUUUGGUACACUUUCAGUAGGUCACACUGUGUCCUCUAAGCGAACUUUUAGGGGAAAUCCCUACUUACAUCUCAUGACUAUGCAUGACUGGGCACGCAUAGGAUUAAAGCCAGAUGCGUUGGGGUAAGGACGUGCCCAGCGAACAGAGGCUGACUUAACAGAAGCCUGUCAGUUAAAACAAAAGACCACCCAUAUCUCACCCUUAGCAGCAAGUCCUGGACCAUCCAAAGAGGCCCCAGGCCAUUACCAGGCAUUUCGGAAUACUUUGUCUCAGACAGUCCCUGCUCCACUGCCAAGUAUGGACUCUGUCCUUAUUACACCUAACCUUGAAUGAAAUCCCUCCAUACCUGUGGUGUUUUUGAACAAGAUCCUGGAAACGCCACUCUCCAGACAGAGACCUUUGGCAGCGCACUGGGGUACAAUGCAGAGGACCAUGAGUCAGGUGGGAGCCAUCCUCGGCCUUGGGUGGAGAAGGAGCCAGGUGACCCUUGGUUCUUGAAGAGCAGUGUUGCUUCUGUUUGUCACUACAGAACCUUCCUGAAGGCAGACUUGGGUCUUUGAGGAAGCUGCUCAGAUCCACGCACUGAAAGGCCUCCUGUGAAGGCUGAGGUCACCAUCUUUGGCUGAGUUUCUCUGUGAGAAGGCUGAAGCAAAAGUGCCUGAUCCCCUCAGUGCACUGCGAACGUCAGGAGCUCCUGCAUCCCAUGGUUAAACCCCAGAUGUAAUGACAGACCGCCAUACAUACUCUAACAUCACCAGCACAGGGCUCUGCCAAUGUGUGCCCAGGAGGGAAGGUCGGACUGGCUUAUGGAGCCCAGUUUAUCCUCUACCUCACUAUGGUGGCCGUGGCUGAUCUUGAACUUCUGACUCACCUUUCUCUGCCUGCCUAAGUCCUGGGAUUAUAUGUGUGGGCCACGACGCCAGGCUUAUUUUAUAUAUUUUGUUUAAAUUUAUUUAUUUAUUUAUGUGUGCCAUAUGUGUGGAGGUCAGAGGAGAAUUAGCAGGAGGAGGACCCUUCUACCACAUGGGUCCCAGGGACUAAAUUCAGGUCAUCAGGCUUGACAGCGAAUGCCUUUACCCACCACACCAUCUACUUUAUAGGCCCACAUUUUAGAAAUUUUAAUGAAUUUUAUUAAGGAUGUAUGUGCAAUUUUAGGGUUGCUGAUUACUGCUAACCUGUUUAUCUUUAAUGACUCAGUUGAUCGAAGUUCAUUUCACUUUACAUUAAUUCACUCAUUAGAUUGUAUAAGUUUGACGACACUUAGCACCAGAUCUUGAAAUCUGAACUUUUUCAGCCUUCAUAGAAUGCUGCAGAAAACCUUAUUUUAUUUCACAAAAUUCCCACGACACCUUGUUCUGUGUGGAAAUGAAAAACAUGGCACAGAGCUGUCUUCAGGCUGUGUGUGUGGUGUGUACGAACGGUAAAUGGAUCUGACUCGGUCCCACCUCCAAGGUGUUUCAUUGUGUUGCUGCAAACAUCUCACCUCCCCACCCCUACUCCCCACCCUGCCUCCCAAACUGAAACACCUGUUGGUAUUUCGGAUAAGGGAUUCUCAACCUGUGUAUUAAUAUUAAUAAACUUGUAUUGGUUUUCUUAUUAUUAGCUCAACAAAUUAACACCAAUAUAGUAGCUUGGGGCAGCUUGCCGUGACAGGCCAAAACAACACAGAGGUCCCUCCAUCUUGUGUUCUUGCUGAGGCCAUUUCAUGUUUAACUAGAAUUUGAUCUCCUUGAUGGAGAAUUCCAUGGAAAACUACCUAACUCUACUCUAGAAACCUGAGUUCCAGAUGCCCCAGCUAGCAUAUCUUAGCUUCUGUUAAACUGUCUGCUUGAUCAGCCCCUCAGUCCCCUG